This 427-nucleotide ribosomal RNA is filed under the name uncultured bacterium. RNAcentral describes it as "bacterial SSU rRNA". It matches the Rfam family "Bacterial small subunit ribosomal RNA", at positions 355 to 774 of the family's 1533-position model. The record is from RNAcentral.
UGGGGAAUUUUGGACAAUGGGCGCAAGCCUGAUCCAGCCAUGCCGCGUGCAGGAUGAAGGCCUUCGGGUUGUAAACUGCUUUUGUACGGAACGAAAAGGUGCCUUCUAAUAAAGGGCGCUCAUGACGGUACCGUAAGAAUAAGCACCGGCUAACUACGUGCCAGCAGCCGCGGUAAUACGUAGGGUGCGAGCGUUAAUCGGAAUUACUGGGCGUAAAGCGUGCGCAGGCGGUUUUGUAAGACAGAGGUGAAAUCCCCGGGCUCAACCUGGGAACUGCCUUUGUGACUGCAAGGCUGGAGUGCGGCAGAGGGGGAUCGAAUUCCGCGUGUAGCAGUGAAAUGCGUAGAUAUGCGGAGGAACACCGAUGGCGAAGGCAAUCCCCUGGGCCUGCACUGACGCUCAUGCACGAAAGCGUGGGGAGCAAACA